AAACGUGACGUGAGUGCGUUGCGAACAUUGCUAACUUAGGUUGAUAGGUUGCGAUGGUUGCGUGUGACAUAGUGUGAAGUUGAUUGAGUAGAAUAGAAAGAACGAACGCCGCCAUCAGUUUCCGUGUGCUGUGUUGGCUGUCGUUUGUGAAUAAAAAAACAGAUUGGUUUUCUAGUUUCAAGAAUCUACUGUAUUUGGACUAAUUUGUAUUGAUAUCAAGAUGUCACGCUAUCGAGAAUGGGACCUUUCCUGCAAGGUAUACGUUGGCAAUUUGGGAACUAAUGCUUCAAAAUACGAAAUAGAAAAAGUAUUCUCAAAGUACGGGAACAUUCGAAAUGUGUGGGUGGCUAGAAACCCGCCCGGCUUCGCAUUCGUCGAAUUUGAAGACCCCCGUGACGCUGAAGAUUCUGUGCGUGGCUUAGAUGGAACCCGAUGCUGUGGCACACGCAUUCGUGUUGAAAUGUCCAAUGGGCGUACAAGGAGAGAUAGAAGGUACUCCAGGUCCAUUUUAUCAACCAACCACCAACACACCGACCUCACCACAUCUCUUCACAACUACGGCUCGUUUAAUAUGACAUCCGCGACCGUCGCUCGCAACAACAUCCCGCUCAACUUCUGCGACCGGCUCUCCAAACUACUACGCGCAACUGAAGCCUCAAACAGCAUCCUACAAAUCCUCCUGACUGCCAUUACCUAGUCCCAAGUCCCGUCCUGAAGAAAGUAUGUUCUUGAGAGCCUUUAGGACCCAUUCAUCCCAACAACGUAGUAAUCUGAUGCUUCACCGUCUGCACACACCGUCAACAAGGCACAGCCAGAAUACAACUCAGCGGCCAACUCUCCCACAAUAACUCGCGCCCUCCCAGCUUAGCCACAGCUCCAUGGAGGAUUACAUUGAAACUCUUCGCCUCAAUACAAGUUAAAAUCCCUUCGGCCUCACUGCAGCCCAACAUCGACCAACGACCUUCUUCAGGCUCACCAAGUCUCGGUCGCGCAGCCGCAGUCCGCGUCGUCGCUCGUACUCGCGUGGUCGGUCGGUGUCCCCUCGUCGGUCGCCGUCGAUUCGCCGUCGGUCGCCUUCCAUCAGACGCUCGCGUUCUCGCGACCGACGCAGCCGAUCGGAUAGCAAGAA
This is an RNA transcript of Plodia interpunctella (Indianmeal moth), 1129 nucleotides long. It is a transcript of the gene named RNA-binding protein 1, with no coding region annotated. The transcript has 5 exons. The record is from RefSeq and is a predicted model, not a curated record. NCBI's taxonomy places the organism in Eukaryota, Metazoa, Arthropoda, Insecta, Lepidoptera, Pyralidae.